GUUCUCAUAGUGUAGCGGUUAUCACGUCGGCUUUACACGCUGAAGGUCCUUAGUUCGGCCCAGGGUGAGAACA
RNAcentral lists this transfer RNA (73 nucleotides) under Daphnia magna. It matches the Rfam family "tRNA". Rfam says of the family: Transfer RNA (tRNA) molecules are approximately 80 nucleotides in length. The record is from Rfam by way of RNAcentral. Lineage: Eukaryota; Metazoa; Arthropoda; Branchiopoda; Diplostraca; Daphniidae.